This 1741-nucleotide long non-coding RNA is filed under the name Homo sapiens (human). Its description in RNAcentral is "HSALNT0334458". The record is from RNAcentral. Lineage: Eukaryota; Metazoa; Chordata; Mammalia; Primates; Hominidae.
CAUGGAGAAGCCAAAUAUGUAGGAAAGGCAUCCUCUUCUUAACUCAGACUGCUGAGUCCCUAAUUACCAGCUGCAGACCACCAAUAAGGGUAAUUCCGGGUUAAGGAUGAAGAAGAGAUGUCAUGAUGAGUUAGAAAAUCUCUUGACUCAAUGUGGGAGGCUGGGUGGCAUUCUCUGCCAGGGGCCUGCAUUCUUAGCGCCACUCUGCCCUGGCUAAUCCUGCUACUAGGGCAAGUCUCUUCAGUCUUGAGGCUUUAUCUUCCAUAUUAACAAAAUGGUGAUGGUGGUAGUCCUAGCUGGUUUGCAAGUUCCUGUCUAAUUGCUUAAUUCUCUUUUUCACCAAGGCAAGUGCCAAGACUGGCUUCUGAGGAGUACAGGGGUGGCCUAGGACCCAAACUAGCCUAUUUGGUAAUGCAGAUGUGAUUCAUUAGCAUCACCACCUCCAUCACACAGCAUUUGCCAUUCUUUUGUUAGAUCCAGUGCAGAAUGCCCUGUGUAUUUUGUCCAUAGUGUUUCCAGCCUAGCCUGGGAAGUCGAUACACGGCAUUCACAUUCUGUUUGCCAUAACAUGUGCCAAUGGCAUAUGUUGUGAAAUAAUUCCUGGUUCCUCACUGUAUCUGGAUUAGGUGUCAGGAUGCUUAAUUUCAUUGCAGGUGGAGCACCAUGCCUGGACAUAGUGGCCAUGCUUUUAUAUUUGGACUGGACAAAAGGGAUCUUGAUAAGAGUUUAGCCUUGGAAGGACUCCUACAGAGAGCAUCUAUGACCCCCAAAGACAGAUUUCAGGCCUACUAAAAGUCUCUUUCUCAUGAGACACUUACCCAUUGAUCAAAUGACUUCUCAUUCAUGGUGUUAUCAGUCCUGUUACAAUGUUGUUUAACCUGUAACAUGGAUAUAAUAUCUGCCCUGCCUUCAUUUUAGGAUUCUAGGGAAGUGCUUGGAAGAGCACCAAGUGCAAUGCAACUAUAGGGUUAUUAAUAAUGUUGCUAUUAUACAUUUUGAUUGAUGAGAUUUUGACAAUGGGAAGCCCCCUCUCUCCCCACUCUGGCCACAGGACCUGUUCCUAAACGUACAUCUCAGUCCACACUCCAAAGACAUUUCUUGGAAACGCUUCUCAUUGUGGUUCAUUCUAUAAAAAAGUGCUCCGGCUCCAAGUGGGCAUGAAAGUUCAUCACAACAUUUGCCAUCAAUAAAAACCCAAUUCUUUCCAUGUGAAAAGCAUUACUGCUGUCAAAUGGUUAUUGAGUGAUGAUACCUGAAUAAUGGGAAUAUAGGAACCGGAAAAUAUACAAAGGGAAACCUCACUGGGAUGCCAAAUUGUAAAGACAGAAAUGCGAAUAUCUGAGGGAAAUUAGUUAAGCAGAGCACAGCACACAUGCCUUCACCAAGGAGGGAAGAUGAGCAGGCAGGAUCGGUGGAAGGUAGAGAGAAGAAGUGCUGGGUUGAGCAUGGCUUUAUCCACUUCCUGGUGGGCCUGGGGCAAGUCGCUGAGCUAUAUUCAGGCCCAGUUACAUUGUCUGUUAAAUGGGAAUGAUUCUUCCCUCAUGGAUGUGUGUGAGAAACAGAUGGUAUCAAAUGGUGGAAAUGAGAGCAUCAACAAUGCCCUUUUGAUACGUCACAGAAGACGCAAGAUUGCCUGGUUCAAGAUUCGUUAUCCACCAGCAGUUACCAUUGAGAAAUGAUGAUAGAACAUGAAAUACCACUCACAAUGACAGCUAAACCCACAACAUACCUGGGAAUUGAC